Molecule: ribosomal RNA, 217 nt
Filed under: Campeiostachys nutans
Lineage: Eukaryota; Viridiplantae; Streptophyta; Magnoliopsida; Poales; Poaceae
Description: Elymus nutans partial small subunit ribosomal RNA
Rfam family: Eukaryotic small subunit ribosomal RNA (bases 46-217)
Source: RNAcentral
GGGUUUAUCCGUUGGUCGGGCUUUUGGGUCUGUACUGGCGCGAUGAAUUCCUACCUUCUGAAUAACCAGCAUGCCAUUAAUUUGGUGCGCCGGGGAAGCAGGACUGUUACCUUGAAAAAAUUAGAGUGUUUAAAGCAAGCUAACGCUUGAAUACAUUAGCAUGGAAUAAUGAAAUAGGACGUUCGAUCCUAUUUUGUUGGUUUCUAGAGUCGCCGUA